AAACGACUCUCGGCAACGGAUAUCUCGGCUCACGCAUCGAUGAAGAACGUAGCAAAAUGCGAUACUUGGUGUGAAUUGCAGAAUCCCGUGAACCAUCGAGUUUUUGAACGCAAGUUGCGCCCGAAGCCUUUCGGCCGAGGGCACGUCUGCCUGGGUGUCACAC
Molecule: ribosomal RNA, 163 nt
Filed under: Haplocarpha scaposa
Lineage: Eukaryota; Viridiplantae; Streptophyta; Magnoliopsida; Asterales; Asteraceae
Description: 5.8S ribosomal RNA
Rfam family: 5.8S ribosomal RNA
About the family: 5.8S ribosomal RNA (5.8S rRNA) is a component of the large subunit of the eukaryotic ribosome. It is transcribed by RNA polymerase I as part of the 45S precursor that also contains 18S and 28S rRNA.
Source: RNAcentral